UGGGGAAUAUUGCACAAUGGGCGCAAGCCUGAUGCAGCCAUGCCGCGUGUAUGAAGAAGGCCUUCGGGUUGUAAAGUACUUUCAGCGGGGAGGAAGGCGAUAAGGUUAAUAACCUUGUCGAUUGACGUUACCCGCAGAAGAAGCACCGGCUAACUCCGUGCCAGCAGCCGCGGUAAUACGGAGGGUGCAAGCGUUAAUCGGAAUUACUGGGCGUAAAGCGCACGCAGGCGGUCUGUCAAGUCGGAUGUGAAAUCCCCGGGCUCAACCUGGGAACUGCAUUCGAAACUGGCAGGCUAGAGUCUUGUAGAGGGGGGUAGAAUUCCAGGUGUAGCGGUGAAAUGCGUAGAGAUCUGGAGGAAUACCGGAGGCGAAGGCGGCCCCCUGGACAAAGACUGACGCUCAGGUGCGAAAGCGUGGGGAGCAAACA
Molecule: ribosomal RNA, 427 nt
Filed under: uncultured bacterium
Lineage: Bacteria
Description: partial 16S ribosomal RNA
Rfam family: Bacterial small subunit ribosomal RNA
Source: RNAcentral